AUGACUGAUUUUUAGAUACUGAACUACUCUUGCAUCUCUGAAAUAAACGCUACUUGGUCAUGAUGUGUAAUUCUUUUUAUGUAGUGCUGGAUUCUAUUUGGUAAUACUUUGUUAAGGAUUUUUCUAUCUAAAAAGCAGUCAUUGU
Vicugna pacos (alpaca) is the source of this 145-nucleotide non-coding RNA. The record is from RefSeq and is a predicted model, not a curated record. Lineage: Eukaryota; Metazoa; Chordata; Mammalia; Artiodactyla; Camelidae.